UGGCUCUCGCAUCGAUGAAGAACGCAGCGAAAUGCGAUAAGUAAUGUGAAUUGCAGAAUUCAGUGAAUCAUCGAAUCUUUGAACGCACCUUGCGCUCCUUGGUAUUCCGAGGAGCAUGCCUGUUUGAGUGUCUUGAAGUCAUCAACCCCUUCGGUUUCGUUUCCGAAGCGGGUUGGAUCUGGGGGCCGCUGCCGUCGGUCAAUGCCGUCGGCUCCCCUCGAAUGCGUCGGUUGGGCCUGUGGGUCGAACCCGGCUGGGCGUUGUACCAUCCUCGCUCUAUCGGGACGGACUCCACGUUUGCGUGCCCCUCCGCGACCUGCCUCUCGUUGUAGGGUGGCGGUCAAAACUUGAGGGACUCACCUCCCUUUUGAAAUCUGACCUCAAAUCAGGUAGGACUACCCGCUGA
RNAcentral lists this unclassified non-coding RNA (406 nucleotides) under uncultured fungus. RNAcentral describes it as "partial contains 5.8S ribosomal RNA and internal transcribed spacer 2". The stretch from base 1 to 133 matches the Rfam family "5.8S ribosomal RNA", at positions 22 to 154 of the family's 154-position model. The record is from RNAcentral. Lineage: Eukaryota; Fungi.